UCAGUUUAUAUCUCCAUAAAUCAAAAGCUUAAGAAUGACUGCCAUCCAAUAGGCAUCCAUUGUAUCCAGUUAGUUACCUACUGAAAGCUGAAGCUUGAAGAUGAUCACUGCAGUGGGUAUUGAAUGUAUUGUGGACGGCCAGCCUGAAUGCCAAACUUGCUGGCCAAACUGGUCUUCAUAGUGCCCCGUACCUCACAGUUACCAGCUUCUUCAUGUCAUUCGACAGCGCUGUGGACGUGUGACCAAUUUCCCAAGAUAAGUGGUGAUGGAGAACUACAGAAAGCUUCGUCUAUGAUGCAGGAUCUCAAAGUGAAUCUAUGGUCAGCAAAUGAGCACAUGACACAAGACAAAACAUGUCCUUUGGAUGCCUCAGAAAUAUCUUCCUGGUAGCAGUGUUGUAAAUGGUUAGUGGGAAUCAAGAAAUGAAGGCUAGUGCAUCACCGUCGCUCCGCAUUGUCCUCUUGCCCACCCAAAAAACAUGUUUGGUUGGAGGCUCAAUCAUUGUGCUUUGUUUGGGUCAAGGGUUUGCUGGAUGGUGACGCAGAUCCUACAUCAGUUUGUUGUAGAUUAAUGUAGAAUGUGCUAUCUGCCUGCCUCACCUGCCUGCUCCCUUCCUGCCUUCUUGUAUGAUUACCGCUUUGCCAAUAGAUUACUAGGCUGUUUCCUGAUGUAGGGUUCAGUGUCUCCUUGUCACUAUGCAUGUUAUUAUAUAUGAAAAGAAGACACUUUGUCUAUGCAGAGUAUGUGUACAAAGUUGUGAAUUAACAAAAGAAUUCUGUACUUAUUGCUGCGCUCCACUGUGCUUAUGGUUGGAUCAAGCACCUGGAUAAUUGGCUCGGUGACCAUCAGCAGCAUCACUCAUGCAAUUUGUUUUAGUGUUUCUUUCAUAACAUUUGUGGACCCAUAUAUCAAUGAUUGCUGUUCUCUAAUGCAUAAACUUUGAUCAAUUUCCAGUAAUGGCUUAGCAGGGAUGAUCAAGUUGGCGGCAAAGGCAUGUCAGAUUGGACAUGAACUGUACUGGGGAAGACUACAAUAUAAGCACCACUUUGUGUGCAAACAUAGGAAAAAAAAUCAACGACAGCCGUCGGAUCUUGGGUGAAUGUCUCAGAUGGAUCCUGUGGGAGCUGCUAGAGUGAUAUGCUUUCUAUACAACUCUUGGCGGUUUUGGUGAGAUGCGCAUGAAGCUCCACCAGCUCCUGUGGCUGUGGGACGCAGCCCCUCUGACGUACGGCGCACUCGCUGACGUGUGGACCCGGAUCCACGCGUCAGUGGCCCAACGUCAGGUGGCCGUACGUCAGGGGAUCCGGCUCCGUGGCUGUGGGAUCCAUGUGACAUGUGAGACAUCCAUCCAAGAUCCGACUUUUUUCUAUUCUUGCACACAUGAACUCACUGGUGGAUGGAUUCAGAACUGUGAUUAUAUCUAUCUGGUUGUGGUGUGGUCAUGUGUGGUGGACAUGGUGAGUGACCUGUGCGGCUGAUGGUUUUGAGAUGGUGACGCCUGAACCCGAAGCUGUUUGCAUUAUUGCUGUUUGUUUGGAAAGUGCAACUUGCUUGCCCAACUUGCACAGGAUUACAGGAUUAAUACCGUGUUUCGAUAAUUUUGUUUAAGCUGCCCUCUUUUGGCAUCAUGAAAAAUGAUAAACAUGUUAUGAUUGCGCUUAUGGGAGCCUGUCAAGAUGAUUAGUGCCUGAUAAAACAACUUUAGUCUACGUGACUCGUACAGCCAUCCAUUUAAAGCAAGUUAGUGAACUGAUCAAGUGGUCAUGUGCCCCCAAAGUGACCUUUAAAGAUAUAAUCUAUCUUAUGAGGCAAGGCAGCAGCCUUGUGAUAUUUAUGUGGAGUGGUUAGGCUUGCUAUUAGUCACUCCAUCGGUUUCACGGUACCUAUCAUACCUUCAGGGACGCACACACACAAUUGUAUUUGAUACUAGAAUUGAACCGUUCUCGUUGCUUCCAUUACAUCAACAACACAUACUGCUUAUCUAUUAAAUGCAUGGUAGAUCUAGGGCUGGAAUUAUAACCGGAAACUCACAAGCUUAGCUCGUGGCUGGGCUCGACUUGAUUCGAACUCGGCAACUAACGAGUCAAGUCGAGUUUUAAUCUGAGCUCGUUAACAAAACAAGUUUAACAAGCUAAGCUCACUAGUUGUUUAACAAGUUUAACAUAGAUGUCCUCUAUGUAGUAUACCAAGUGUUUCUUUAUUGAGCUAGUUUCUAUAAAUAUAUUUUAGAUUUAUUGCAUACAUAAUACUUAUAUUUUGUUAUUCACGUCUUUAACGAUCUACCUCGCGAGUUACACAAGUCGAGCUGAAUUCGAAUCUGAGCUUGUUAUGUUAAUGAGUCUAGCAGAGCUAAAUUGUUAUCUUAUUAAUCAGUCGAGCCAAGCUGGCGCGACUCAACUUGAAUUCCACCGCUAGUAUGAUCUGCUGAAAUGUGGUUCUAUUUUGUGUCUCUGUCUAACAAAUGCUUGAAAAUAAAUGAUGCUACCAAACACUUCUUCCAUUCCAAAUUACCGAUGGGGAGAUGACAGUCUCGUAUGAUACGGAUAAUACAUUCGAUUCUAUCGAUUUUUUAUGAUAUAAGUACUAAAUACAUUAUGAUUAAGUUGUCCUCUUUUGGCUUGAUAAUAAAUACUAAAUACAUUAUGAUUAUGAUAAUGGAACCUGUCAAUAUGAUUAGUGCCUGAUAAAACAACUUUAGUCUACAUGACUCGUACAACCAUCCACUUAAAGCAAGUCAAUGAAUUGAUCAAGUGGUCAUGUACCCCCAAAGUUAUCUUUGCAGAUAUAACCUAUUUUAUGAGGCAAGGCGGCAGCCUUCUGAUAUUUAUGUGGGGUGGUUAGGCUUGCCGUUAGUUACUCCAUCUAUUUCGCAAUACUCCCUCUAGUCCUUUGAGAAAUCCAACUCCAUGCCCAGGCUCAUCUGCUCCCGUUUAAAAAAAAUUCAAAACAAAUAGUAAAAAAAUUCAAAAAAAUUCAAUUAUUUUUUGUGUGGUAGAUAAUUUGAUGCGUGAGGUCUGCUUAAAAUUUCAACUCAUUUGGACAUCUGAGCAGCUCUCGCCAAAAAAGACAAAUCGGAGCAGAACAGUGCAUAAACAGUAAACUUUUUUACAGACCCUGAAUUUGUCUUUUCUGCCGAGAGCUGCUCGGAUGUCCAAAUGAGUUGAAAUUUGGACCGGACCUCACGCAUCAAAUUAUCUACCACCCAAAUUUUUUUGGAAUUUGUUUAUUUUUUUACUAUUCAUUUUGAAUUGUUUUCUAAGCGGGGUUGCAGAUGAGCUCGGGAGCAGAAACUCAGCACUCCCUUUGAGAAAUCCAACUCCGUGCCCAGGCUCAUCUGCUCCCGCUCAGAAAAAAAUUCAAAACAAAUAGUAAAAAAAUUCAAAAAAUUCCAUUUUUUCUUGUGUGGUAGAUAAUUUGAUGCGUGAGGUCCGCUCAAAAUUUCAACUCAGCACUCAUAAACAAUUUGUUAGUCAAACUUCAUAAAGUUUGAUCAUGCACGCAAAAAAAAAAGUAUUUGAUAUAAUUGAACCAUUCUCGUUGCUUUCAUUAGAUCAUCCGAAACUACUUAUCUAUACAAUGGUAUGAUCAACUGAAAUGUGGUUCUAUUUUGUGUCUCCGACUGAUAAGUGCAUGAAAGUAAAGUAUGCUACCAAAUACUUCUCCCGUUCCAAAUUUUAGUUCUACCCAAGUCAAAUUUUCUAAUGUUGCAGAAUCUUUCCUUGACAAAACUAUUCUCAGCCAAUAGAAGUUGAGCUAUUUAUCCAGACCAGGGUUGAACCGAGCAAAUGUUGAAGCCAAAGAAAACAUAAAUCCAUUGCGGUUAGAAACCAGCGACUCUACAACAAUGGCUCGAUGGCGACAAUAACAUCUACAACACCAAGUUAGUUUUAUUGGAUUCUUUAUGAAAUAUAUUUCCAUACUGUAUAUUUUGAUGUUAUCAAUCUUAUGGCAAAUUCUCCCAUCAUCAUCCUCUGUUAUCUUUCAUUACUAAACUGUUUGACUGAAGAGAAACUUGUAGGAUCUUCUCCCAUCCUCUUAAAUUUUAACAUGGGGUUGCUAUAAUUAAUGGUUGAUGUUGAAGUUUAGUGCAACUAUUUUGCUGAUUGCUCUUUUUCUUUCGUAAUAAUUUGGUUGUGUGCAUCCUUGAUGUCUUGAGUAGCUCUUGAGAUCGUUAACAUCUUGAUAUUGAUACAAUCCGUUCUAACAGAAAAAAACCUCAUGCUAAAAUCCUUCCAAAUAGUCCAAUGCAUUGUUGAGGAAAUCGUUAACUGGUAACUGCUCGGUUGGCUGGCGAGUAGGGGAUUAAUAGGCUAAUCGGCAAGUUAAUCGGCCAUUUAAUCAAUUAAUCGGACGAUUUAUCAGUUUAUCGGCUACUCGGUGACCCUAUGAGUAGGGAUUAAUCGGCAAGUUAACUGGUUAAUCGGAUGAAUUCUUGAACAGGGGUCCAAUGUAUGCGAGAGGUACAAACAGUGAGGGUGCUACAUAUGCAACACCCUCUUUCUUCUAGAUUGAAGGCAUAUACUUUAACUUGCUGUAGUCUCGGAAGUACAGAAUCAACUCAGAUCCUUGAAAACCAUUAGAGUUGGCAAAUUAGGGACUGGAUUCAAAAAUAUAGAAUGCUAGGCAGUGGAAAGAAGUUCAGUAAAUUAGAAAAUCAUCUGGCAGAAUUCGAGAAGAAAAUAUGGUCACAGAGAGAGCUUAACCAAAACGAAAAAAAGAACUGUGACCUUACCAAAGUCAAAACUAGUACAAAUAUAUCAUUGUGAGAAUCAUGCUAAUCUACACCUCUCAAUAAAACUAAGUUAUUUUCUCCUAGAAUAAGAAAUAAAAAACAUCAAAAGCAAGCAAGAAAGAUUAAGUUAUGUCGAACUGAAUCACCUCUUCCAUCAGUGACACACGAGUUUUUACACAUCCAAGCUGGUGCCACAAAACAAGAAAAUUAGGCCCAUAUCCAACAACUGGUUGUUACAAUGGCGCUACCGUCACUUUCAGCGUCCAUCGGACGGCCAUUUUGUGAAACAGGGAAUAUAAGGCGCACAACCCACGAAAUCUACAUAAGAGCUGAUAACAUUCACUUUCCGAUUAUCCGUAUCAUACGAGACUGUCAUCUCCCCAUCGGUAAGGAAAAUCAGAUUACAAUUUGGAUGAAUGGCCAACACCAUGUAGGACUCAUGAUCUUUGCGACAAUGACUUCCAAAUAAUUCCAGAACAUUGACAGUGUGCUUUAGAGUCCAGUUCUCGCUACCAUAAUCCCGAAGAACCCAAAGAGAGAAUUGGCAACCAUUAAGAACAUCUACACGCCAAGCAUGCAAGCAUCCCUGAGACAGCCCAAUGGCGUCGAAGUGUGGCACUCUAAUUUCUCUCCAAAUCUUCCCCUCUUUGUCCACUGUUACUAUUGAAGAACCACAGGUAGUCAAAUGCAUAAUGCCAUUCAAGAAUAUGGCAUCUUGAUCACCCACAGUAGUAUCGGAAGCCCACCCACUUUCCACGUAAGUCCAUCGUUCUGUUCCCGAUGAGUAGAUCGCUACUUUUCCGAUUAGUUCAUAAAUAUCUGUCAAGGGCGCAACCACCACGAAGCUAGAGGGAUUGACUGCGUCGAAACCCAAAUAGCGUUCGACGUCCGCUUGGUCCAUGCAUUCUAUGGGAGGCAACAGAGUCCACUUCUCGGUCCCGGAUUGCACACGACAUAAUCACAUUCACCCCGCGGUGAGUACGAGUUCUUCCAGCACAUGCAAAGGAGAAGGCUGCUAGACCAUUGUGUGACCUCUAAGCUUUCGUAGCUCCGGCGCAAGAAAGAGAGAUCGGGAUCGACCAGACGGGGGCCACCCCUGGUCAGAUCAUGGAAACUGAGGCCUUGGCGUUCCUCGUCCAAGAAGUAGAGGCCGGAUAGGGUCUGCGGCGACCUCUUGUGGGUGUCGAGACCGGAGCAAAGGUCAAGCCACUGCUUGGACACGCACUUAAAACGGCAGAGCGACUUGUAACGCACCAACGACAGGAUUUCGAUGACGAUGUCGCCGGGGAGGCUUGUCGCGGGCUGCUGCUCGCCAUUGCGCUUCUGUUUCUUCUUCUUCUUCUUCUUCUACAAACGCAAGAGAAGUUUGUUUAUGCCUAGAAUUUGAUUGGAAGAAGGAAGAAUAUAUAUGGGGAGGAAGAGAACCUCGGGAGCUACAGAAGCAAUGACGGGGAGCGUCGGCGAAGAAGACGGAACGUCCUCGGGGCAGCCAUGGUGGCCGCUCGCCUGCGGGGAAUCGUGCUCCGUGCAAUCAUCUCCUCCUCCUACUGGCGGCAUCGUCUCCUCGGUUCGCGGGGCUAGGGUUUGUGGUCGGAAAUUGAUCGGCCCCUGAUCGACGACUGAGCGCGACCCUUCUCUUUUUUGGAAGCAGAUCCAGAUCGUAGCGAACCGAGAGUGGCACCGGAAGAAGAGUAUGGGCUUGAGUAUCGUUGCUUUUAUAUGGGCUUUCAAGAACGGCCCACUUCAUUCUGAUGCACGUCAGCCACCCACAGUUCUUUCUUCUUCUUCCCCUAAAAAAAGUUAUUUCUUCUUAUUUUUCUAAUCAAGCUCGGAUGUCAUGGGAAAAAUUGUGCCCGGAAAAGGACAUCAAUUGUUUCACAUUUUCUUGAAAUCUCUGCCAACUUUAGCAUGGUUUCGAAAGGGUGCUUUACAACAACAUUGUUUUCCAGAAUGAUGUGCGACGAUUCAUGUGUGGAAUGCUAUACAUGAAUGGUUGGCAAAAAAAUGUGGGGAAUAGUUCAAAAAAUUUAAUGAAAAAUAUGAUCAUUUGUGUGAUUGAAGAAUAAACACAAGAGGUUUGUUAAAUCCUUGAUUUAGACCUGACAAUCUAUCUCCAGUGUUAGCAUAAAGUGAGUUCUUAGCUCGUGCUUAGGAUGGUUGUCAGUUCUCUAGAUGAUAUAGAGAAAGCCACCUUGUAAUUUAAUUUCUCAGAUAUCCUAAAAAAAGAAUAAACCUGAGGGUAAUUUUAAGGGUAAUUUUGAUUCAUGAUCAUCUGGAAUAAAUUAUUGACUGAAAAUAAAAUUUUGGACGAAGAGAACGAGAAGUGGAAGUUUUUGGACCGGCCAUGGGUAUUCUAUGAUGCUACUUCGGCUCUGAAAGCACUUGGAGUUUUCAUUUUUAUUUGCAAGGGUUGCAACCUAAUUGAAAACAUGCAAAAUAAGGUCACAAACAUGCAGAGUUACUGUUCACUGUUUCCCUUCAUCCUUUGAGGCAGAAAGCGGGAGACAGACUAGAGCGGAGGUCAAUGGGAAGUCUACCAAUUCCUCCUUGAUGGCAGCAAAUAAUUUCCCUUGUCAAACGGCCUAACCAAUAGGAACCGUUUUGUUGAUGUAUACGGUAUGAAAAAAAAAACUAAUGGAUUGUUUCAACUGAAGACUCUUUCUGUAUCUCAUGAAUAAUAAGAAUGACUGGCACAGUCGGCAUCCAAUUUAUCCAGUUAGUUACCUACUGAAAGCUAAAGCUUAAAGAUGAUCACUGCAGUGGGUAACUGGGUAUACAAUGUAACCAGUUAAACAUCUUUUAUUUUAGGACGGAGGUAGUACCUACUCCCUCCGUCGAGUACCAAAAUUUCAGAUUAUAGCUACUACAGGACGGCCAACUUCAGUGCUAAACCUGCUGCCCAAAUUGGUCUCGACAGUGCCCCAUAUCUCGCAGUUACCAGCUUCUCUUCAUGUUAUUGGACAUCGUUGUCGCUGUGGGACCAAUUUCCGAAGAUCUUCAGUGAUGGAAAACUGCGGAAGGCGUCAUCUAUGUCGUAGGGUUUUAGAGAGAAUCUAUGGUCAGCAAACGAGCACAUGGCACAUGAUAAAACUAUGUCCUUUGGAUGCCUCAAAAAUAUCUUCAUGUGGGCAGUGUUUGUAAAUGCCGAGUGGAAAUCAAGAAAUGAAGGCUAGUGCAUCACCGUCGCCCCGCAUUGUCCUCUUGCCCACCCAAAAAACAUGUUUGGUUGGAGGCUCAAUCACUGUGCUUUGUUUGGGUCAAGGGAUUGCUGGAUGCUGACACAGAUCCUACAUCAGUUUGCUGCAGAUUAAUGUAGAAUGUGCCAUAUGCCUGCCUCACCCGCCUGCCCCCUUCCUGCCUUCUUGUAUGAUUACUGCUUUGCCAAUAGAUUAUUAGGCACGUUUCCUGAUGUAGGGUUUAGUGUUUCCUUGUCACCAUGCAUGUUACUAUUAUAUAUAUGAGAAGGCACUUUGCUUCUGCAGAGUAUGUGUACAAAGUUGUGAUGAAUUGGCAAAGGAAUGUUGUACUUAUUGAUGCA
This 8270-nucleotide long non-coding RNA is filed under the name Triticum aestivum (bread wheat). RNAcentral's name for it is "long non-coding RNA (TAES_LNC024092)". Lineage: Eukaryota; Viridiplantae; Streptophyta; Magnoliopsida; Poales; Poaceae. The record is from RNAcentral.